GCCGGGCACGGUGGUGCAGGCCCGUAAUCCCAGCAGUUCGGGAGGCUGAGGCAGGAGGAGUGAGUGAGUUCAAAGCUGAGCCUCAGCAACUUAGUGAGGACCUCAGUCACUCAGUGAGACCCUGUCUCUA
Molecule: small RNA, 130 nt
Filed under: Marmota monax (woodchuck)
Lineage: Eukaryota; Metazoa; Chordata; Mammalia; Rodentia; Sciuridae
Source: RNAcentral